RNAcentral lists this ribosomal RNA (267 nucleotides) under uncultured bacterium. RNAcentral's name for it is "partial 16S ribosomal RNA". It matches the Rfam family "Bacterial small subunit ribosomal RNA", at positions 793 to 1055 of the family's 1533-position model. The record is from RNAcentral.
GUCCUGGCAGUAAACGGUGCACGCUUGGUAUGGGGGGAAUCGACCCCUCCCGUGCCGGAGCUAACGCGUUAAGCGUGCCGCCUGGGAAGUACGGUCGCAAGAUUAAAACUCAAAGAAAUUGACGGGGACCCGCACAAGCGGUGGAGUAUGUGGCUUAAUUCGAUGCAACGCGAAGAACCUUACCUGGGCUUGACAUGCAUCUCUCAAACGGUGAAAGCCGUGGAUAGGAGCAAUCCUAAAUUUGCACAGGUGUUGCAUGGCUGUCGU